This 460-nucleotide ribosomal RNA is filed under the name uncultured bacterium. Its description in RNAcentral is "partial 16S ribosomal RNA". It matches the Rfam family "Bacterial small subunit ribosomal RNA", at positions 338 to 795 of the family's 1533-position model. The record is from RNAcentral.
CCUACGGGUGGCAGCAGUGAGGAAUAUUGGUCAAUGGACGAGAGUCUGAACCAGCCAAGUAGCGUGAAGGAUGACUGCCCUAUGGGUUGUAAACUUCUUUUAUACAGGAAUAAAACGAGGCACGUGUGCCUUUUUGCAUGUACUUUAUGAAUAAGGAUCGGCUAACUCCGUGCCAGCAGCCGCGGUAAUACGGAGGAUCCGAGCGUUAUCCGGAUUUAUUGGGUUUAAAGGGAGCGUAGAUGGGUUGUUAAGUCAGUUGUGAAAGGUUGCGGCUCAACCGUAAAAUUGCAAUUGGUACUGGCAGUCUUGAGUACAGUUGAGGUAGGCGGAAUUCGUGGUGUAGCGGUGAAAUGCUUAGAUAUCACGAAGAACCCCGAUUGCGAAGGCAGCUUACUAAACUGUGACUGACAUUGAUGCUCGAAAGUGUGGGUAUCAAACAGGAUUAGAUACCCCAGUAGUC